CAAGAUUGUGGACAGGAAAUGAGUGAGCUGCCAACCACUGAGCUGCUGUCCCAGAGACCACAAGACUCCACUUCUGUCUCCAUCAUCACAGAGCCCUGCCAUCUGGAGCAGACCUCUGAGGAGACCCCAGGUCUGAAUAAAGAAGAUGAAAAGCAGUUACAAGAACUUGCUGUAGAAGAAAAGCAAACAAUCAUUCAAAAAAUCAGCAUGUUAUACAAUGAGGUGGUACCAGGGGCUUGAACCCAGGCCCUUGCACAUAGUUUCAUAUGCACUUUGCGUGGCACAUCACCACCAGGCUGCUGACAAUAUUAUUUCUUGCAGAGAUGGAAUAUUUACAAAAUUGCCAGCAAAGGCAUGUAUUCUAUAUAUACAUUGAUUUUUAUAAAUUACGUAUAUGAUAAACCGAUACUUUGAAUUUGAUUUGAAUGACUUCUAGAUGUAAUAAAAUUGCUUGUG
Erinaceus europaeus (western European hedgehog) is the source of this 456-nucleotide long non-coding RNA. RefSeq lists it as uncharacterized. NCBI's taxonomy places the organism in Eukaryota, Metazoa, Chordata, Mammalia, Eulipotyphla, Erinaceidae. The record is from RefSeq and is a predicted model, not a curated record. The transcript is spliced from 3 exons.